UGUGGCUCAAGGCCUAGCAAAGGAAACUCAUCCUGUCCUCCCCUCCUUUCCCUCCGGUUUCCAGCCUCUGGGAAGAACAGACUCCUCCCUGCGGGACGAGUACCCGCAGCUCCGACCACAGCUGGCCUCUGGCAGAGGUGUGCCAACAAAGAAAGAAAACAAGAGCCAAGCUGCAUUCAUUUCAAGCUCCAUUAGGGGCAAGCACUGGAUACCAGCCAGGACCCAGGAUGGCGGUACCCAGCUAGGCUUUGCGAAUGUCAGAUGCUUUGUAUGAGACCAGUUGCAUUCUCUGAACCAACUCCUGCCACUGAAGAAUCCAGAGAUGUAAAGAUCCAGAAUCUUGGAAGCUCUCCACCUGCCUCAUCACAGGCAAACCAGUCCAGCAAUCCACCACGAGAAGAUUGUAUUCUUAUUGGCCCCUGGUCCAAAAAAGAGUGAAAUAUAUGUGAAGUCGACUUGAAUCCAUCCUACAUCUGGAGCAGUCACCCAGGCCUGUCUGCCUCCCAGUGUCCUCCUCCCAGUCUUCAGCCCUCUGCCCAGUAGCCCGAGAUGAGCCCACAGUCAAGGUGAUGAGUGUGGUGGGGCCAGAGGGAAAAAAUAUGUUGCAUGCUUCAUUUUAAAGAUUAGAAAGCCACUACCCUGGAGUGUGGCUGAAACAUUUUGGAAGAUUGUUUGCCAAGCAGAUAUUUUUCUUCUGUAAACACACACUAGACAGAAAUCCCAUGGGCUGAUGCCAGGAGCGAAUAGUCAGAGAGGAAGUAAGAAGUUUAGGCCCUUGUGAACUGUCUCUUCAGGCUGAGUUGGGGGGUGCCUGCUUGAUGGAACCCUUAGAUAAAUUUGGGGAUAAAUCAGACUAGGAGAAAAAUCAUAGCCCAAAAUGUGAUAGAAAAAACCCUGAGAAACCUGUAAAUUCUCUUACGCUGUGCAAGAACAGUUGAAUUCUCCUCAUGGCCCAAGGCCAGCUGCUGCAGGACCUCAGGGCUGACAGAGGUUUCAGCCCAUUCUGUGGGUCCCAGCUUGUCCUUGCUCUCCCUCUAUUACAUUCAUCUUCUCUUCCUGAAAUACUGCCCUGAAGAUUUCAAAUCAGACUCAGACACAAAGACUCAAACAUCAGACUCAGACUCGAAGACAAUAGUGUUAUAGGUGCUGCAUACAGCUGGGGAAGAUCAAAUCCCUGUAACAAUCUGUCCAUCUCUCUGCCAGCCUAUGUAUGUAUGUAUGUAUGUAUGUAUGUAUGUAUGUAUGUAUGUAUGUAUGUAUCUAUCUAUCUAUCUAUCUAUCCAUCCAUCCAUCCAUCCAUCAAUCCACCUACCCACUCACUCAUCCAUCUUAUCAGUUUAGCUUCUCUGUGGCUUAGAAAGGUCACUCUGGUUACAUGGAGAAGGAAACAUUUAGACACUGGUGGGCCUGUGAACACAGAAAGGAGAGAAAAUAUUUGAGAGAAAUUUCUUCCCUGUGCUCUCUUCAGUCACUGACCUCUUUCCUCCCACAAAUCCUUUGGACUCCUAACUAAGCCCUCUCAGCCCAUAGACGCUCUAAGAAAGAAGCCAGAAACCAGGCCAUUUUCAAGGUUAUCCAAACCAUGGGGUGGGGCCCUGUCAGGGGGCUUGUCUUAGGUGCAGGAGGUGGAGCAGCCCUUGUGAACUGACAACUUUUCAAAUGCCUCUCUUAUGAUCAUUAAUCUAGUCAAAGAGCAUGACUCAUGAACAAACUUAUUUUUAGCAUCUCUUUUUAGAAGGUAAAAUAACAAAUUUUGUAAUGGCCCUUUCCAGUGAUUUACUGGGAAUUUUCAAAGAUAGGUAUAGAA
This is a long non-coding RNA of Callithrix jacchus (white-tufted-ear marmoset), 1807 nucleotides long. RefSeq lists it as uncharacterized. The record is from RefSeq and is a predicted model, not a curated record. Lineage: Eukaryota; Metazoa; Chordata; Mammalia; Primates; Cebidae.